Molecule: ribosomal RNA, 716 nt
Filed under: uncultured bacterium
Lineage: Bacteria
Description: bacterial SSU rRNA
Rfam family: Bacterial small subunit ribosomal RNA
Source: RNAcentral
AUGGCUCAAGACAACGCUGGCGGCGUGCUUACACAUGCAAGUGGAGCGACGAACCAGGGCUUGCCCUGGGGCAGAGCCGCGAACGGGUGAGUAACACGUGGGUAACCUGCCUCGAUGAUCGGGACAACCCGGGGAAACCCGAGCUAAUACCGAAUGUGCCCCGUCCACAUCAGUGGACGGUGUAAAGGAAGCUUCGGCCUCCGCAUCGAGAUGGGCCCGCGGCCCAUUAGCUUGUUGGUGGGGUAAAGGCCCACCAAGGCUUCGAUGGGUAGCUGGUCUGAGAGGACGAUCAGCCACACUGGGACUGAGACACGGCCCAGACUCCUACGGGAGGCAGCAGUGGGGAAUCUUGCGCAAUGCGCGAAAGCGUGACGCAGCAACGCCGCGUGGGGGAAGACGGCCUUAGGGUUGUAAACCCCUUUCAGGAGGGACGAAGGCCGGCGCGUUAAUAGCGUGUCCGGCUGACGGUACCUCCACAAGAAGCCCCGGCUAACUACGUGCCAGCAGCCGCGGUAAUACGUAGGGGGCAAGCGUUGUCCGGAAUUAUUGGGCGUAAAGAGCGUGUAGGCGGUCCGGUAAGUCAGCUGUGAAAGUCAAGGGCUCAACCCUUGAAUGCCGGUUGAUACUGUCGGGCUAGAGUCCGGAAGAGGCGAGUGGAAUUCCCGGUGUAGCGGUGAAAUGCGCAGAUAUCGGGAGGAACACCAAUGGCGAAGGCA